UUUGUUACUAUGACAGUCAGUGCCUUCAUACAAUUAGUUCAUCAAAUUAUUGAUAGGAAUAUUUUUUCUUGAAAUUUUUUUAAAAAUAGUUAUAAUUAGCACCUUCUCUAUUUGUUUGCUUCUUUCUUGCCAUAUCGGCUCUCGGCUAGACAAACGUCAUGUCUGUGCCCAACUUUUUAUGAUGGAUUUGCUAAAUGGACAUAUACUCAAAAUUUCGCACAAGAUCUAAUAUUUAAAUGAAGAAAAUAUUUGCUUUAUGGCUGGCACAUGAAAAGGCGUCAAUCAAUUUAUUUUGAAUGGCAAGUUUUGUUGAUACAAACAGUUGAGGACAGUGGCAUGAAAAUAUUUCAUAAGCUUAUAAUUAAAAAAAAAAAAUGAACCAUUUUGCACACAUCAUGAAAAUCAAUUAACAAAUGAGGGAAUCUAAUGUGCUAAUUUGAUUAAAUUAUUAGUUUGAGUAAAACAAUUCAUUAGACGCUUUUAGAAAACUUAAAUGGAUGUCCACCGUGUGGUAUGAGUAAUUAAAAUAAAUCAUACAACCCCAUGAACCGGGGAAUAAAAAUAA
Stomoxys calcitrans (stable fly) is the source of this 565-nucleotide long non-coding RNA. RefSeq lists it as uncharacterized. The transcript has 2 exons. Lineage: Eukaryota; Metazoa; Arthropoda; Insecta; Diptera; Muscidae. The record is from RefSeq and is a predicted model, not a curated record.